This is a long non-coding RNA of Panicum virgatum (switchgrass), 543 nucleotides long. RefSeq lists it as uncharacterized. The record is from RefSeq and is a predicted model, not a curated record. Lineage: Eukaryota; Viridiplantae; Streptophyta; Magnoliopsida; Poales; Poaceae. The transcript has 2 exons.
AAGACCUCGUAUCCUCCCUGUUGUUCCUCCGCUCCAUGCACUGUCGGCCCUAGCCAUCGCCCCCCUGCAUCGCUCGUCCCUAAGUACCACCACCGCCAGGGAUCGCUGCUCGCCCUCCCCAUCUCCUCUGCAGCCCUACGCCCCCUCCGUGUAUCCUGCUCACGAGGCUCCAUGAUGCCCGAGUGCCUAGGUCCCUACCGCACCUCCAGGCCCAGCGCCUCGCGUCCCUUGCUCGCCGUUCGUGCCCGCGACAACCAGGGCCGCCACCAGGAGGGUCUACCCCGAGCAGUGCGCCUCCUCUUCCUUCCGGCUUUGAUUCCUGCCUUCACGAAUGAUCAUUGUUUGAAGCUUGAAGCAUCAAGAAUUGCAAGUGAGCAAGAUUUGAAGAGUAGUAAGAGUAACUUUUCAUUGGUGAUAGGCAAGUGACCCUAACCAUACUUCUAUCUAUGCUUAUUUACAAGAAUAUUUUGUUUAAUUGGAACAUCGAGAACCACCCAGGAAAACAGUACAACCACAAUACUAUAUGGCUCUGUUCUUUGCUAA